AAGGCUAACCUGGAUGGCUGUGAAUUGGCUUAAUCUCAGCUGGCAACUGUGAGAUAUUAAUAAAUUCCCUCACAGUGGUCUCUGGGAUUAUGCUAAACAGAGCAAUUUCCUUGCCCUCAUGGAUCAAUAGACUUGCUCACCAACCUAAAU
This is a non-coding RNA of Sarcophilus harrisii (Tasmanian devil), 150 nucleotides long. RefSeq annotates it as microRNA mir-216a. Lineage: Eukaryota; Metazoa; Chordata; Mammalia; Dasyuromorphia; Dasyuridae. The record is from RefSeq and is marked provisional. The transcript has a single exon.